UACGUAGGGUCCAAGCGUUAUCCGGAUUUACUGGGCUUAAAGGGUCCGCAGGCGGGCUUGUGCGUCAAAGGUUAAAGAUCUCGGCCCAACCGAGAGAGUGCCUUUGAUACGGCAAGUCUUGAGUAUGAGAGAGGUAGGUAGAAUUCCUGGUGUAGCGGUGAAAUGCGUAGAUAUCAGGAGGAAUACCAGUGGCGAAGGCGGCCUACUGGCUCAUUACUGACGCUCAUGGACGAAAGCGUGGGGAGCGAACAGG
Molecule: ribosomal RNA, 253 nt
Filed under: uncultured bacterium
Lineage: Bacteria
Description: partial 16S ribosomal RNA
Rfam family: Bacterial small subunit ribosomal RNA
Source: RNAcentral